RNAcentral lists this ribosomal RNA (460 nucleotides) under uncultured bacterium. RNAcentral describes it as "partial 16S ribosomal RNA". It matches the Rfam family "Bacterial small subunit ribosomal RNA", at positions 338 to 795 of the family's 1533-position model. The record is from RNAcentral.
CCUACGGGAGGCAGCAGUGAGGAAUAUUGGUCAAUGGACGCAAGUCUGAACCAGCCAUGCCGCGUGCAGGAAGACGGCUCUAUGAUUUGUAAACUGCUUUUGUAGGGGGGUAAAUGUACAUACGGGUAUCUGUCUCAAAGUAUCGUACGAUUAAGGAUCGGCUAAUCCCGCUCCAGCAGCCACGGUAAUACGGAGGGUUGAAGCGUUAUCCGGAUGUAUUGGGUUUAAAGGGUGCGGAGGUGGUCGUGUAAGUUAGAGGUGAAAUCCCGGGGCUCAACUUCGGAAUUGCCUGGGAUACUGGUAGGCUAGAGGGUGGUUGCGGUAGGCGGAAUGUAUGGUGUAGCGGUGAAAUGCUUAGAGAUCAUGAAGAACACCGAUUGCGAAGGCAGCUUACUAAGCUAUUACUGACGUUGAGGCACGAAAGCGUGGGGAGCAAACAGGAUUAGAUACCCCUGUAGUC